UGGCAGAUGCUCUUAGCCUUGCUGGUGAA
This 29-nucleotide non-coding RNA is filed under the name Mus musculus (house mouse). The record is from RNAcentral. Lineage: Eukaryota; Metazoa; Chordata; Mammalia; Rodentia; Muridae.